CAUUGGAUCACCUAAAGCUAGAGGUAUAUCUCUAUAAAUUACGCAAACCUAGGAUUCCUACCAUUUGAUCUAAAAUGCACAAUCUUCUCUCGAACGAUGUACACUUCACGAAACACAUUCAUUCAUUGGCCACAUAAAUGAAAAUGCAAUAAAUACAAUAAUAGAAACACAUGAAAGAAGCAACUUAACAUUAAAGAGCAAAUAUUGAAAAUCAAUUAAAACUAGGUUAAACUAACACCAUAAAUCCCAACUCAAUACUUAGCCCAUGUUAAAUAAAUGAUAAUCAAGGAGAAUAUUCAUCCAAUGUAUUACAAAUAUGGCUAAAUAAUGGAGAAAAUACAAAGAUAUAGAUAAAACCCUUUUUUGUAGCUUAAUCUUGAUUUUCCCAAAAUCCUUGCCAAAUCCUUUGGUACCUCCUUGUGCUCUAUGAUUUGUUCUCCAAAAUACCAAGUAAAAUGAAAAGAAAAAAGAAAAUAAAAACAAAAUAAAAAGGAAAGAACCAGCAGAAGACGGAACCCAGAAAAUGAAGCUGCGUGAAG
This 539-nucleotide long non-coding RNA is filed under the name Olea europaea subsp. europaea. The record is from RNAcentral. Lineage: Eukaryota; Viridiplantae; Streptophyta; Magnoliopsida; Lamiales; Oleaceae.